AUUCAACUGACGAGUCCCGAAUAGGACGAGACGUACGUCCUGAAU
Schistosoma rodhaini is the source of this 45-nucleotide non-coding RNA. The record is from Rfam. Lineage: Eukaryota; Metazoa; Platyhelminthes; Trematoda; Strigeidida; Schistosomatidae.